RNAcentral lists this transfer RNA (74 nucleotides) under Marmota monax (woodchuck). RNAcentral describes it as "tRNA.Ala". The record is from RNAcentral. Lineage: Eukaryota; Metazoa; Chordata; Mammalia; Rodentia; Sciuridae.
GUGGGGAUGUGGCUCAAGCGGUAGUGCGCUUGCCUGGCAUGCGUGGGGUGCUGAGUUCGAUCCUCAGCACCACA